Molecule: long non-coding RNA, 906 nt
Organism: Camelina sativa (false flax)
Lineage: Eukaryota; Viridiplantae; Streptophyta; Magnoliopsida; Brassicales; Brassicaceae
Source: RefSeq, a predicted model, not a curated record
GCGUGCAGGUUGUUGUACCAUUUAUUUAUAGAAUAAACCAGAGAAAAAUGUAGUUUGGGCCAGAUCAGAAGAGGUGGGAAGGAUCCGUUUGCGAGACAGAAAAGAAAGCGAUUCCGGCCGUCUAUUGCUGCUCAAAUUCGCACAUGUGUGCGUCACGGUAUUUGUAAGGAGUGGUUGGAUUCUCGCGAUCAGGACUGGCUUCAGUCUGUGCUGAACAGGCCAGAGCCGAAGUUGACUCGUAUAUAUCCUAGAAAGGAAAAGGCUACCACCGCCAAGCGUCAGCGGACAUCAACGUUGGCCUCACAGUCGCUGCGAGCUUGUUCUACCCGUAUGGAAAAACUUGACGACGACUUGAAGGGAUCUGAUCAGGAUCAGACCACGCCUGACUCUGAUCAAUUUGAUAUUCAGGAAAUGCAAAGUCAGAAAACAGGAAUACAAAGUUCCAUCGAACAUUCCUACAAAGAAAAGUAUCUCGAAACCAAAGCUGAGCUAUCCAAGGCAUAAGAACAAAUUAAAGAGUUGCGCAAGAAAUACAAAGAUUACCAUCAGACCACUCUUGAUGACUCUGAUAAAUUUGAUACUCAGGAGAAGUUGUCGUCUAACGAUAUUGCUACCACCUCAACCUCCAUGCCUCAGUCGCCAUCGCCAUAAGAUAGGUUGGAAUGGUCUUGCGCGCACCUGGCUCGCCAUAGCUAAGCAGCUCCGACCAAUUUCAAAGUGCAAAACUAAAAUCCCCACCUAUGUCUAGCAAAUAUAUAUAUUUCCGCUCUCUCUUUCUCUUUUUUAUUAAUCCCCUGGACAAUGUUUUCCAGUUGUUUUAUUUUUUUUUAACUUAAACUAGCCAUGCUUUUUUAUAUGACUUAAAAAAAAACCUUUUAAUUAAGUUACAUGUUUGGUUUUGAGAAA